GGCGGCAUACCCAAGUGGUAAGGGAGCGGUCUGCAAAACCGUUAUUCAGCGGUUCGAAUCCGCUUGCCGCCUCCA
Molecule: transfer RNA, 75 nt
Filed under: Syntrophobacteraceae bacterium
Lineage: Bacteria; Pseudomonadati; Thermodesulfobacteriota; Syntrophobacteria; Syntrophobacterales; Syntrophobacteraceae
Description: tRNA-Cys
Rfam family: tRNA
About the family: Transfer RNA (tRNA) molecules are approximately 80 nucleotides in length.
Source: RNAcentral